AUGAAAAUUGCAACUAAGGAUAAAUUUUUGUACAUAACUGUUUUAUUUGGUGAUCUAAGAAUAGCUGCAUUAGUUGAUACAGGGAGCUCUAUCAAUGUCAUUUCUAAAUCUUUGUAUGAUUCGAUAUCCGAUCGUCAUAAACUUUAUUUUGAACAACUAAGUGAAUCGGAAAUUCGAUUAGCCAACAACGAUAAAAUCAGAAUUAACGGAAUAUCCAAACUUCAAGCCACAAUUCAUCAGAAAAAUGAAAUUAUUGAAACAUAUAUCAUUCCCAAAACAUCUCAUCCUUUGAUUCUCGGUACUGAAUAUUUACGAGAAAAUAAAAUUGUUUUAGAUUUUAGUGAUUUUAGUUGUAAUCAGAAGACUGUGCCGGUUAAAACAGGUAAGAGGAUAGAACUUGAACCGAAUACAGAAUACUUAACUUUUGGGAAGUUACCAAAUUACGUUACAGUCGGAUUGCAAGGGAUAUGCGUAAACAGCAAAUUUUCAGUUAACCACAAGUUUUUAGUUGCCAAAUCUUUAGUUGUCGUUCCUGUCAAUCGCAAAGUUCCGAUUAAAUUAUUGAAUGCUAGUAAUGUGAAAAUAACGAUUCCAAAAGGCAAAAAUAUUGCUGAAUUUUCAACAUUAUCGAAUGAGUACACCUAUGUUGCAAUGUCUGAAAAAUCCGAGAUACCCGAAGUGCAGAAUAUUCAGUUGGUUGCUAAUGAAAAUGGACUGCGGACCGAUAAUUCCGAACAGCAAUGUGACAUUACAGACAGUCCCGACAGGCAAGAAAUUUUGACCAAGAUUCAAGACAGAUUUUGAUUUAUCCGAUCAUUUAACACACGAUCAAAAAUCGGAAUUAGCUGAAUGUUUGUUUGAUAAUCUUGAUUUAUUUGUGACGAAAGAAAAUCCAAACCUUGGAUAUACACAUUUAGUGGAGCAUAAAAUACAUCUGAAGCCGAAUGCUGUUGGUAAACAUCAUAAGCCGUACAGGUUACCCCCUUACAAACGUGAGGUUUUGCGUGAGCAACUGGAUAACUUGCUUGAACAAGGAAUAGUUGUGCCAGUUAGUGAACAAGAGGAGCUACCCAUUACAAGUCCGAUAGUAUUAGUCACAAAGCGAAAUGAAGCGUCGAAUAGUAAGACUUCAACUCAAAGUUAUAGGUUUGUUUGUGAUUUUAGACAUUUAAACGCGCAAACAGAAGAUUUUAAAUAUGUUAUACCAAACUUACAGGAACUGACGGAAUCCUUUGCUGAAAUAGUACCAAAUUAUAUAACUUCGAUAGAUUUAUCUUCCGGAUUUUUUCAGAUGGGCAUAUCCGCCGAAUCGUCAAGAUAUACCGCUUUCAACACAUGUUUUGGAACGUACAAGUUUUUAAGGCUGCCAAUGGGGUUAAAGACGGCACCUAACACAUUUCAGCUUCUAAUGGACAAGGUACUGCGUGGUCUAAAAUUCAGAACUUGUUUGUGCUAUUUAGAUGACGUAUUGAUCUGCUCUGAAACCUUUGAAAAGCAUUUAGACGAUAUAAAAGAAAUCUUUAAACGAUUUCGAGAUGCAGGACUAAAACUUGGACAGAAAAAAAUGCCAUUUUGCAAGUGAGACGUGUAUUUUUCUUGGACACGAGAUUUCUAAACAUGGGAUAAGACCCCCAAAAGAUCGAGUGAAGGCUAUUGUCGACUUUCCAGCACCACAGAAUAUAAAACAACUUCGUCGCACAAUUGGAUUAUUUAACUGGUUUAAAAAGUUUAUACCAAAUUUCAGUGCUAUAAUUAGUCCACUCACUAAACUUCUGAAGAAAAAUCAAAAAUUUGAAUGGAAAAUUGAACAAUCUACAGCAUUUCAAAAUCUUAAAACUCAUCUUGUAAAUACCGAUAAUCUCAGUUUCCCCCGUUUCGAUUUACCGUUUAUAUUGGCUGUGGAUACUUCAUCAAAAGGAAUAGGGUACAUGCUUUAUCAGAAGGACCCAACAAAGGAAAAACCAAAUAUCAUUCGUUUCGGAUCAAAGUCUUUAUCACGAUGGCAGCAGUCGUAUGGUCCUACGAAAUUAGAGUUGUUGGGAAUGGUCACUAGUAUUCUUGACUGUGCGGACUAUUUAAGGGGUACACAAUUUAUCGUGGAGUGCGACCACCAAGCACUCCAACCAUUGUUUAUGAAGCAAUUCAAAGGAGCUAUUUAUGAGCGUUGGCUUGCCAUUCUCCAGCAAUUUACAUUUGAAAUUCAAUAUAAGCCUGCAGAACAAAUGAAAGUCGCUGAUGCGCUCUCAAGAUGUGAAAAUCCCCAAAACAUUCCGAUCGAAAGCCCUGCAGAAGAUGAUCCGUUUUUCCCCUUGGUAACAGAAAAUACAGGAGAAAUACGUUUACCCGGUGGAGUGAAAUUUGUUGAUUUAUUUGAAUCGAAUGAUAAUACCGACGUUGUUGUACAGGCUAUAGACAUAGUAGCUGACAAGCACAUCGAUUUAUACAGUGUAGAAACUGACGAGCAUGACUCGCUAAAUGAUCCAUAUGAUGCCGAUACGGACGAGUCAGACUCUUAUGUACAUAAUCGCAAAAAGAAAUUUGGCAGAAAUAAUCAGAACGUUGAACAACUUGCUAAUACUUUGCGCGAUUUUCAAGUUGGUGCAAAUACCUCUAACAUCAAAAAGUUACAACGGAAAGAUAGCGAUUUAAAGAAAAUCAUUGCAUAUUUAGAAGAUGAUGUUUUGCCAGAUUCACAAAAAGAAUCUCGCCGUAUUUUAUUGGAGUCGUGUGAUUUCAUUUUAGUUGACGAUGUGUUAUAUCACCGUAGAAAGGCAAAAUCAGAAAGGACAAAAGACAUGAGUGAAUUUCAACUUGUUAUUCCUAAGCAAUUGAUUUCGCAAAUUUUAAAAAUUACUCAUGACUCCCCAUUAGGUGGACAUAGUGGAAUUCAGAAUACUUUAGACUCUGUUAGAGAGCGUUAUUAUUUUGCGCGAAUGGGUAAAAUAAUCAGUGAAUACGUGCAAUCUUGUCAUGAGUGCCAGUCACGUAAAGUUAGCAAUUUAAAAACGAAAGCAAAAAUAGUAGCAUAUCCUACUCCUAGUGAACCAUUUCAAGUAUGGCAAAUGGACAUUUUUGGACCACUUGUUUCAUCAAAUAAUGCCAAUACAUACGUUUUUACAGCAGUUGAUGCUUUCAGUAAUUUCUUGUUUGCUGUGCCAUUAAGAAAUAACGAUGCAAUAUCAGUUUCUCAGGCAAUUUUCAAUUUUUUCUGUAAUUUUGGUGUGUGUAGCACGGUUAUUUCAGACCAAGGAUCAGAAUUUAUUGCCAAAUGUACAAUGGAAGUUUGCAAAAUGUUGAAUGUAGAGCAAGAAUUUACACCUAGUAUGAUGCAUCACUGUUUGGGUCGCUGUGAACGUACACAUCGUACCUUAGCGGAGCGUUUAACGCCCUUAUGUUUUAGACAAUAA
This 3407-nucleotide small RNA is filed under the name Mytilus galloprovincialis (Mediterranean mussel). The record is from RNAcentral. Lineage: Eukaryota; Metazoa; Mollusca; Bivalvia; Mytilida; Mytilidae.